UACGGAGGAUGCGAGCGUUAUCCGGAUUUAUUGGGUUUAAAGGGUGCGUAGGCGGAUUUUUAAGUCAGCGGUAAAAUGUCCGGGCUCAACCCGGGCCGGCCGUUGAAACUGGGGAUCUUGAGUGGGCGAGAAGUAUGCGGAAUGCGUGGUGUAGCGGUGGAAUGCAUAGAUAUCACGCAGAACUCCGAUUGCGAAGGCAGCAUACCGGCGCCCGACUGACCCUGAGGCACGAAAGCGUGGGGAUCGAACAGG
Molecule: ribosomal RNA, 252 nt
Filed under: uncultured bacterium
Lineage: Bacteria
Description: partial 16S ribosomal RNA
Rfam family: Bacterial small subunit ribosomal RNA
Source: RNAcentral